Molecule: ribosomal RNA, 253 nt
Filed under: uncultured bacterium
Lineage: Bacteria
Description: partial 16S ribosomal RNA
Rfam family: Bacterial small subunit ribosomal RNA
Source: RNAcentral
UACAGAGGGUGCAAGCGUUAAUCGGAAUUACUGGGCGUAAAGCGUGCGUAGACGGUUACAUAAGUCAGGUGUGAAAGCCCCGGGCUCAACCUGGGAAUUGCAUUUGAGACUGUGUAGCUAGGGUGCGGAAGAGGGAAGCGGAAUUUCAGGUGUAGCGGUGAAAUGCGUAGAUAUCUGAAGGAACACCAGUGGCGAAAGCGGCUUCCUGGUCCAGCACCGACGUUCAGGCACGAAAGCGUGGGGAGCAAACAGG